Molecule: ribosomal RNA, 252 nt
Filed under: uncultured bacterium
Lineage: Bacteria
Description: partial 16S ribosomal RNA
Rfam family: Bacterial small subunit ribosomal RNA
Source: RNAcentral
UACGGAGGAUGCGAGCGUUAUCCGGAUCUAUUGGGUUUAAAGGGUGCGUAGGCGGACGCUUAAGUCAGCGGUAAAAUUGCGGGGCUCAACCUCGUCGAGCCGUUGAAACUGGGUGCCUUGAGUGGGCGAGAAGUACGCGGAAUGCGUGGUGUAGCGGUGAAAUGCAUAGAUAUCACGCAGAACUCCGAUUGCGAAGGCAGCGUACCGGCGCCCUACUGACGCUGAAGCACGAAGGCGUGGGUAUCGAACAGG